RNAcentral lists this ribosomal RNA (119 nucleotides) under Pteropus alecto (black flying fox). Lineage: Eukaryota; Metazoa; Chordata; Mammalia; Chiroptera; Pteropodidae. The record is from RNAcentral.
UUCUACAGCCAUGCUACCCUGAACAUGCCCAAUCUCCUCUGAUCUUGGAAGCUAAGCAGGGUGGGGCCUAGUUAGUUCUUGGAUGGGAGACCACCUAGGAAGACCGAGUGCUGUAGAUG